Molecule: long non-coding RNA, 3193 nt
Organism: Alexandromys fortis (reed vole)
Lineage: Eukaryota; Metazoa; Chordata; Mammalia; Rodentia; Cricetidae
Exons: 3
Source: RefSeq, a predicted model, not a curated record
UGGCCAAACCCGUUGAGGUCAAAGCUAGUGAAUGAGUCAUCUGUCCAGUGCGGUCAGUGAGUCAGGCAGGGCCUGCUCAAGGCCCGGGGUGCCAUCACAUUCGUUUCCCCCUUUCUCCUGGAACCCAGAAGCUUCUAGAAGCAGCCUCUGCAAGUUAUCAUCCCUGACAAAUGAACAGCAAAAUGGCGCCAACACCCCACCCUUGCGCCACACCUUCUGUGUGGUCCAGAAGAUAAGGACAGAAGUCUUAGCAGGCAGAGCGAGCACGUGGGGUGCAUCUUUGGGAAGAAAGCUCACUGGUCUCUCUUGGCCGUGACUCCCUCUUCUAGGCACGUGGCAGUGGCUGAGGCCCCACUGCAAGGCUCCUCAGUUGCCCCACAGGCAAUGAGCCCCUGAAGUUCACCCGUGUGUUAACGAGUUCAUAGCCUUCUCUGAUAUCUGUGGCUGAGUGAUGACACACUUUAAUUCUUUUCCAUGGGAGAAGACACAAGGGGAUCCAGCCAGCCUCUUGAGAUAAGCAGUGUUAAGCCGAACACAUAGUUGGCACUACGCUGACUCCAGUGAGGAUGUUCUGAACACGGUGUGACUUUGGACAAGUUGCUUAACCUCUCUGGGCUUCAUUUCUCUUAAGUGAGGGGGCUGAAUGACACAGCACACCAGGCCUGAUCAGAGAGCUGUGUGCAGUGAUUGCACAAUAGAGGCUGGCUCCGUCCUCGUGCCUGGGUGUGCAGGGUGACGGAUUACCCUUGCCAAUCCAUAGGGUGGGCCAAUGCAGAAGAAAGGUACCAGGGACAGGAGGUGCUGCGUUAAAAGAGCUACGCAGGUUCAGACUCUAUCCAGGGCUGCUGCAGGGAUCUCUGAGGAAAGCUCCAGGCCAUCUGGGAGCCAGGGGCUUCAGUCAGCAUGGCCGACAUGGAGCUUGCAGAAACUGCAUCCUCAGGAGAGGGAGGUGGGCACGGCCACAUGCCAGAUCUGCAUUGAUAGCUCCCAGCUGUGUGACCCUGGGCAUGCCCCUCCUCUGAGCUUAGCGACCUCCCCUUUACGGGACUGUGGCUGAGACCAGGGGGCGACACCUGUUUAUCACCUGGCACUAAAGAAAGCUUAGCCUUCACCAGGAUUCUUAACGAUGCUCUGCUAUGUCACAGACUGAGGACCUACUAUGUGCUGGGCAUCAGUUACCACAGAGGAGAAAAGAAUGACCCGGCCCUGCAGUCAGCAAGUGCGCAGUCCAGCGGCCUAAGACAGGGGUGAAUUGGCUUCCUCACCCGGAGUAUUCCAGAGCCUGGGAGGAGGAGGGGGAGAGGGAGGGAGGAAGCGAGGUGUCUCCAUCUGCUUAGACAGCCCCUUUGCUGUGAGAGAAGAGUAUUGGGGAGCUCAGAAGACCAGGACAGACAGAGCAGUGUGACCAAAGCUGUGGGGGUAGAAAAGGCCUAGAACAUCUGAGGAACACAAGCUCACUGAGUUUUCUUAGAACCCAAGAGCAAAAUCAAAUCAAGUGGGAGCCAGCCAGAAGGUCAAAGAGAUGGGGAGACCCAUGCUGGAGGGCUUUUUUUUUGGGGGGGGGAACUGGAGUCACGGAAUGUUAUGAGCAAGAAGAAUCUUGUAGCUUAGAUUUAAAAUGUCCCCCCAAAAGCUCAUGUGUUGAAGGCUUGGCCCCCACUGCAACAGUGUUCAGGGAGAAACUUUGGGGAAGUGACACCCAUCUUUUCAGUGGAUGUGAUGGUGUGCUCAGAGUGUGAAGGCCUAGAGGCAGAGGGGGAACUAGAAGAGGGAACGGAAGGGAGUGGGUCCUUGUGGUCCCUUUUGUCUUCUUUGCUUCUAAGCCUCUCCACUCUGCUUUGAACUCCGCAUUCUUCCUCACCACAGGCCCACUGUGAUGGUGCCCAGCAACCAUGGGCUGCCCCUGCAUCCUCUCUCUAAAUUGUUUAUCUCAGGCAUUAUAUGACAAGGAUAGGAUGCAGACUGACGCGGGAGACAAAGGGAAAGAGGGAAGGGCAUUGUGGGAUAUCGCCCCUCCCCUGGGAACAAUUCUACAGGGUCCCGCCAGGUCUUUCUCUCAUUUAAUUUAAUUCUGGAUGGACAGUAUUCCCAGUUUAUAAAUAUGGAAACUGGGGCUCACUAAUAGUAAGCCACCUGCCCAACAUUACAGAGGAGACAGUGAGCAGGGAACCCUGUUCGUCCAUAGUGGAAGCUUCUCCCCUUUUCCUCCUCUGACCCUCAAGACAGAUCCAAAAUGAACUCAGAAAGGUUCAUAGGCCGAGGCCGACCCUGUGCUAAGUGUCCGUCUGCACAGGGCCCAGAUAGAAACCGAGGCUUUUCUCCACAGUCCCAGGGAGGUUAAGUGACUGUUGGCACUCAGAAGAUGGUGUGGGGGGGGGAGGGCAGGCUGAGUCUUUUGGCUGCUUCCCUGCUUCCUACCACCCCACACCACCCCUAGAGUUGUUCCUAAGCACACCUGGAACAGGGAAGUGCUCAGGCCAGUGGGGGCCAGCCUUUCCCCGAGUUCACACCUACUGUUCACACCUACUGACUCAUCCUGCUCUGGGCUCAGAGCAGCUAGCUGAGCCCACAGUGCCAGCCGCUCACCCUUCCAACUCAGCAGAAGCCUCUCUGGCUCUACCCCUGUCACCAGGGUGUUUAUUCUCACUGCCUGGACUGAGACCUUGGGUGGCUGUACCUUCGGUAACUCUUUCUGAACAAGUGGACCAUAGGCCAAGUCCCUUGCGGUCCAGGAGAGCACCUUCUCUCAGCUGGAGCUCCAACCAAUCAAUGCUUCUAGGUGUCUCUCAAGGCCCACCUGGUGUGACCCGCUGAGGUUCUGAUGCCAGAUUCUGAAACACACAGUCCAGGGGUCUCAUGAUACAAGGAUCACUGCUGGGAAGGGGAAAAACUGAGUUGAUGACUCAGAGGAGGGGAAAGGUCUGGGUGUCCUGCUCCUCCCGCUUCACAAGGGAAUGUCACCAAGCCAUGCUGCAUGGUACCCAUUGUACAGAUACUGCCUUGAAGACUCGGCAGAAAAGAGAACGGCCGGCUCGCUAUCCGUCAGCAGGCGGCUGGGUUCCAGCCUGCUCUUGAUGCUCCUUCCAGGGAGAGAAGAGAGCGGAACUCCACAGAGACCAUCAGAUAUUUGACUUCAGUGCCAGACCAUGCCACUGGAUUUGUAUAAAAAGCUCUUUUUGAAAAGUUUGGGAAG